GGAGAGGGAGCACUCAAGAAUAUUUGCUUGGAAAGUAGAAUGACUAGAUUAGUUGCUUAAAGUUGCCUUUGUAUAGUGAAGUUUUACUUUCAUUGUAUAGUAUUUGGGUGGAUAGCUGAGGAGGUUAUGGGGAGGGUUACUCUGUGUUGGUCUUCAGGGCACCCUGACAGCACAAAAUUGCUGUGGAUAACAUAGUCCAGUGUUAGAGUUACCAGUCUGGGUUUUACAAAUGGAUGCUUUGUAUUAAAGUCUUGUUCUUUUCUAGUCAUUUUUGUUGUCUGACCCAAGAACUCCAAAGUCUUCAUUCUUCCUUAGCCUAGAACAAGCCUUUCUGAAUUCUGCUGUCACUGUCAUGUGCUUAUAACACCCCUGUUUCUCCCGACAGUCCUGGCCGUCUUCCCCACUUCACCUGUAUCCAUGGUUCUCAGCAGAAACAUUUAAGGGAGAAGUGCUUUCAUAAAAGCACUUCCCUUCAAAAACCUGAAUGUUUGUGUAGACUUUAUAUCUUUUUCUCAGAGGACCUAAUAUAGAGCUGAGAAGAGAUUCCAGCUUCAGAG
RNAcentral lists this long non-coding RNA (557 nucleotides) under Marmota monax (woodchuck). Lineage: Eukaryota; Metazoa; Chordata; Mammalia; Rodentia; Sciuridae. The record is from RNAcentral.